CCGGGAAUACCAAAGUUUUGAGCGGUGGUGAUAGAGAGUGACUGACCAUGUUCCUGAUUGUAGAGGGCGUGCCACAGGGAGUGACAAAGCUUCUCUCUGGCGCGCAUAAAAGGGUUGAACUGCUGCGUCUGGUGUGGACGACAUCGCCGGCGACGCUCUUGGUCGGCAGCAGGAAUACAUGUCGUAUUUUGCACCGUUGGGCAACAAGGAGCAUCCGUAUCAGUGAAACCUGAAACACACGGACCAUUUAGGUUCAACUUGUAAUCCAGAAUGUGAAAUGGAGAGAGAGAAAACGUGAACUGGUACUAGUAUUGGUUUCACUGUUUACGAUCGC
RNAcentral lists this long non-coding RNA (334 nucleotides) under Vigna radiata. RNAcentral describes it as "long non-coding RNA (VRAD_LNC010043)". Lineage: Eukaryota; Viridiplantae; Streptophyta; Magnoliopsida; Fabales; Fabaceae. The record is from RNAcentral.